AAAAAGUAGGUCCUAGUUCAGAUUGUGGGCUGAAACCCGCCCACAUAAAGCUGAAUUUGCUAGUAAUCCCGGAUCAGCAUGCCGGGGUGAAUCCGUUCCCGGGUCUUGUACACACCGCCCGUCACACCAUGGGAGUCGGUAACACCCGAAGCCUGUAGUCUAACCGCAAGGAGGACGCAGUCGAAGGUGGGAUUGAUGACUGGGGUGAAGUCGUAACAAGGUAGC
Molecule: ribosomal RNA, 225 nt
Filed under: uncultured bacterium
Lineage: Bacteria
Description: partial 16S ribosomal RNA
Rfam family: Bacterial small subunit ribosomal RNA
Source: RNAcentral